UACGUAGGGUGCAAGCGUUGUCCGGAAUUAUUGGGCGUAAAGAGCUUGUAGGCGGUUUGUCGCGUCUGCUGUGAAAUUUCGGGGCUCAACCCCGAACUUGCAGUGGGUACGGGCAGACUAGAGUGUGGUAGGGGAGACUGGAAUUCCUGGUGUAGCGGUGAAAUGCGCAGAUAUCAGGAGGAACACCGGUGGCGAAGGCGGGUCUCUGGGCCGAUAUUGACGCUGAGGAGCGAAAGCGUGGGGAGCGAACAGG
This 253-nucleotide ribosomal RNA is filed under the name uncultured bacterium. RNAcentral describes it as "partial 16S ribosomal RNA". It matches the Rfam family "Bacterial small subunit ribosomal RNA", at positions 524 to 776 of the family's 1533-position model. The record is from RNAcentral.